GGGACCCUCUUUCAACCAUCCUUAAAAGAGGUGGUUCAGAUCCAGGGAUGAGGCCCUGGGCCCCUGACGGACCCCAACAGUGGUGGCCACCGUCUGCCCAAAUGAGAGGGAUACAAAGGGCCCUGAGGGAAGCACUGGUGUAUUUUUAAAACAGAAAUUUCUCAAAAACAGGAAGCAUGCGCCUGUCUGUGAUGGACGCACCCACUCCUAGGUAUUCACCCAAGGGGAAACCACCAGGCCCGGCACAGCCUUGGCCCCAAAGGUUGCCACAGCUUCGCCCCAAGGGCCCCGACUGGAAGCAAUCGGAGGACACUCACGGCAGCUGCCCGGACCACGGAGUGAAACCCAGCGGUCACAAGGGAGGACAGCAGGUGACACCACAGUCUGGAAAGCAGCUCUAAGCAUCAGGACCUCACAGAGCACGGGGCGCACGCAGUCAUGCCGAGGGCUGACCUUGGAGCCUGUUCUCACUGAAGGAUGACACAGAGACACUUGUAGGCAGUGAGAUUGCUGCCGGCUUCCUUCUUUCUUCUGCUGGGUGACAAGUCAAGGUGACGACGGAGGGAGAGUCGUGACUGGGUAACCUGAGGGACUUUUCUUUUUCUUGGCACCAGGGACUGAUCCCAGGGGCACUUGACCAAUGAGCCCCACCCUAGCCCUUCUCCUGUUUUAUUUGGAGACAGGGUCUGAGGUGCUUAUGGCUGAGGCUGCUUUGAACUCGCGAUCCUCCUGCCUCAGCCUCCCUAGCCACUGGGAUGACAGGUGCGUGAUACACGCCCAGCUUCAGGGACUUUUAAUGACAUUUAAACCUAAGUUUGGGGUUUCCCUAAGGCAGGAUUCAUACAGGAAACGCAGGCCCCUCUUCCUCCUAGCACAGGGGGAGAAAAAUAAACACCACCUGCCGGUCACUCUCAGAGCCCCGCCUGACACCUGGGGAUGGAGACCCACCAGCGUCGUGCCCAAAGCCCAGCCACCCACCACUCACCGCGGCCGUGGGCUCCUCAGGAUGCGCGGGGCUGGGCACAGCGGUCUUCUCACACCUGAUGUCGCUACUGGAGGCUGAACUUGAAAACCUGGCACAGAGACCCGAGUCACUCGCAUGGAGCCAGCAGCCGGGACUCCCGGGCCCCCAGUAGCCCACUCUGCUUCCAGCUCAGGAGGCGGUGAGAUCACAGGCCUCCAGGGCCAAGCCACAGGACACCUCCUGAGGGUCGCCAAAGGAGGGGGCGGGGGCAGGGCCUACGCAGGCAGAGCAUGGGGUGGAAGGCGCCCAGGCCGGGUGCAGACACCCAGUGCUGUCCCAGCUCAGGCCUGGGACCUCACCUGAGCCUGUUUCCUGUCUAUAAAGUGGGGAUAAUGA
This is a long non-coding RNA of Marmota monax (woodchuck), 1360 nucleotides long. RefSeq lists it as uncharacterized. NCBI's taxonomy places the organism in Eukaryota, Metazoa, Chordata, Mammalia, Rodentia, Sciuridae. The record is from RefSeq and is a predicted model, not a curated record. The transcript is spliced from 2 exons.